CCUACGGGACGCAGCAGUGAGGAAUAUUGGUCAAUGGCCGGAAGGCUGAACCAGCCAAGCCGCGUGAAGGACGAAGGUGCCAAGCAUUGUAAACAUCUUGUGUCAAGGGACAAAAUCAGGCUCGAGAGCCUGACCGAGGGUACUUGAAGAAAAAGCAUCGGCUAACCCAGUGCCAGCAGCCGCGGUAAUACGGAGGAUGCGAGAGUUAUCCGGAUUGAUUGGGUUAACAGGGUGCGUAGGCGGACUGUUAAGUCAGCGGGAAAAGCCCGGGGCUCAACCCCGUCGAGCCGUUGAAACUGGCUGUCUUGAGAUGUCGAGAGGUAUGCGGAAUGCGCAGUGUAGCGGUGAAAUGCUUAGAUAUUGCGCAGAACUCCGAUUGCGAAGGCAGCAUACCGGCGGCGAUCUGACGCUGAGGCACGAAAGCGUGGGUAUCGAACAGGAUUAGAUACCCUUGUAGUC
Molecule: ribosomal RNA, 459 nt
Filed under: uncultured bacterium
Lineage: Bacteria
Description: partial 16S ribosomal RNA
Rfam family: Bacterial small subunit ribosomal RNA
Source: RNAcentral